Molecule: antisense RNA, 159 nt
Filed under: Dendroctonus ponderosae (mountain pine beetle)
Lineage: Eukaryota; Metazoa; Arthropoda; Insecta; Coleoptera; Curculionidae
Description: Bacterial antisense RNA HPnc0260
Rfam family: Bacterial antisense RNA HPnc0260
Source: Rfam by way of RNAcentral
CGAAUUUAAACCAGCUAAGGAUGUGAAAAUUAUUAAACGAAAGGCUGAAAGUUUCGGUUGGGGUGAUAAGAGAGACGAGUAACUUGGAAAAGUGAUGAAGAACUGCCUGAAAGUUUGCUUUGGUGCGUCCGAGUGAACUCGAAUCACCGACCCCCACCA